Molecule: ribosomal RNA, 253 nt
Filed under: uncultured bacterium
Lineage: Bacteria
Description: partial 16S ribosomal RNA
Rfam family: Bacterial small subunit ribosomal RNA
Source: RNAcentral
UACGUAGGGUGCAAGCGUUGUCCGGAAUUAUUGGGCGUAAAGAGCUCGUAGGCGGCUUGUCGCGUCGACUGUGAAAACCCGCGGCUCAACUGCGGGCCUGCAGCCGAUACGGGCAGGCUAGAGUUCGGUAGGGGAGACUGGAAUUCCUGGUGUAGCGGUGAAAUGCGCAGAUAUCAGGAGGAACACCGGUGGCGAAGGCGGGUUGCUGGGCUGACACUGACGCUGAGGCGCGAAAGCUAGGGGAGCGAACGGG